Molecule: long non-coding RNA, 4476 nt
Filed under: Capsicum annuum
Lineage: Eukaryota; Viridiplantae; Streptophyta; Magnoliopsida; Solanales; Solanaceae
Description: long non-coding RNA (CANN_LNC016206)
Source: RNAcentral
CUUGUACAACUAUCCAUUCCAUUUCUCAAGAAAUAAUUUACCUUUUUUUUAAUUCUUUAAAUAAAGUAGAUAAAAUAUUUGGAAAGUUCAGAUACCAAAGUUUACACGUAUUUCUCUUCUACCCAAAUGAAUUCUUUAUUAUUCAUUGCUUAUCUUCUUCUUUGAAGAAACUUUUUUCUUUUUAGUAAAAACAGUUCUAUAACAGAACCUUAAAAAAAAUUAUCGAAUCCGUAAACGCAAUUUUGACCAUCUGACAGGAUUCGAAGAAAAAAAUCGGUUAGGGUGGCGCUUCUAAUCAGAUCCAAAAAUUCAUACAACCAGUUAUGAAGAUUUUUCUCACAGGUAUAUUCAUACAAAAAUCUUUUUUCCAAGAGUUUUAUAUUUUAAACUCGAAAAAUAACGUGUAAAAAUGGAGUAAUAAACUUGGCUUUGAUACCAUUGAUAGAAAAUUAAGGAGCAAAAUAGUGUGUACCUUGACAAAUUUCGUAGUAGAUGUGAUUUUGCUACCGAAAGGAUCUGCCCCAAGUCCACUUUGUUUCUCUUGAAAACAGAGUAUUGAUUCACAAACUAAAAAUCUCCUUUUAAAUUUUUGUUAAUGUUUUUAUUUACCGUAAUAUUUAUUUUUAGUUAUUUUUUUUUUCAGAAGAAGUGAAUAUGUACAAGAGUAGUGGGUGGAUAAACCAGUUAUACAGUAACUGUCCCUCUCUUUUUCAAAAUUAAAUUGUUCCCUUCUUAUCUUUCAUUUAACAAAUAAUUAAAAUAAAAAACUGGGUCGGACCGAAUCGGAUUGGGUCGAUCCACAUGGACGACUCAUGACCCCUAAUCUAACAAUUAGGAUAAUAAUAAAAUUAGAAGAAAGACAAAAAAUAAGAAAAAAUAGACUCUACAAAGGAGAAACUAAGCUAAUUCUAAUAAUUUGUGGAGCACCAAGGCAUAAAUGAUUGGGUGCCUAUUGUAAAUCUAUCUAAUUUUUGGUGAAGUAUUUCAACAACGUCAAUAAAAUAUGAAGAUAAUUGCAUUUAUAAUUUAAUAAUUUCAAUUCAUUAAUAACCUAGAAAUAGUAUUUUAUUUCACAUUUGUUUAUAUUAGAAGUAAAAAAUAUGCUUCAUAUGAAUCAUAAAUGUUCUUGCAAUUUCCAGUUAUGUUAGAUAGUGUUGAAAUUCGUAACAGUUUCAUCUUAAAAAAUGUCAUACCAAGAAAAUAUGCAUAAGCUUUUUUAUCCAACUUCAUAGUACUAUAUCUAUUAUGGAGUUUGUGUACUGUUCAUGAGAGAUUUGGUUUUGCAGCCUUUUACAAAGUUUCUUAGUUUUUUGUCCUUUUUAUAGGAUUUCUCAUUUUUGCAUACUAGAUUUAGAAAAAGAAAAAAUUACACGCCAUAUAUAAAAUUAUUUUUUAAUUACAUGAUAUGAUUAAUAUUUCAAAAAAUUAUUCUACAUAGUUAUUUAUUAGUUAUAAAAAUAUUUUUUGUGGGCCCCUAUAUAUAAAUAUAAUAUGCAAUAUAUAUAACAAAUAAUACUCUCUUUCUCAUGUAAUUAAUUUUUUAUAAUCUCUCUCUAAUCUAAUUAGCUAAUUUUACCGCAUUAACUUAUGCACUGUUCUUGAACAUAUCUCAAUGAAAAUUUUUCUCCCAAAUUAGUUAAUUUAUUUUCUUUUCCUAAACAUCCAUUGUGAUUUUGCGUUGAAAAUUUUUUGAAGUAAUUUCUCGUCCCUAAACAUAUGUGAGGAUAUGCAUUGAAGAUUUUGUGAUAAUCUUUAAUUUUUUUGGGUAAAUAGAUUUGUUUUCUUUUAAUUUUUUUUUAGCUAUUCUCUAAAUGAACCCUAUGUUUCUUCAGAUUUAAUCUAUUUUAUAGAAUGGAAUGUAAAAUUUGAAAAUCGAAUUGUAUAUUAGUGUCAUUUCACAGGAUAAAUCUUGAUGAAUUAUCUUCAUAAUUGGGAUCCAAUUUUAGUGAAUUUGAUAAUUGUAUAUAGACGAUGUAAUUGUAUUAAGUUGCAUAGAUUUUUGUACGUCGGUAUUCAUUGUAUAUUUUUUUCAUUUGUAUAUUUUCUAUACAUAUGAAUGUAUUGAAUGUAUAUUUUUGAUGUAUAUAUUUGAAUUUUUGUAUAACUAUGAUGUAUACAAGUUUGUUCUGUGUUGGUACACAUAUACAUAUAUAUAUGCAUAUAUAUGUGUUGGCUCAAUAUACAUUAUUCAUAUGUGUAUACAUAUGUUCUAUAUUUAUGUAUAUAUACAUAUUCAUAUCUGUAUAUAUGUACAUACAUUUGAAUAUAAGUAUAAUUAUUUCUAUACACAUACGCUGAUUUUUAUACAUUGUGUAUCACAUAUUAGAAUGAGUAUCAACGCAUUAAGAUUCUAAUAUAAAAAUGUUCAAUCAUUUAAUUGCAUAUGAAUAAUAUUAUACGUUCAUACAAUAUAGCGUUGACAUACAUAUGUAUAUGUUUAUUCAAUACAUAGUUGAUAUGAAUAUGUAUAUGUUAUACAAAUGUGUUUGUGUCAUAUGUAUAUGUUUAUUUGAUUAAUUGUAUAUGUAUAAUAUUCUAUGUUUAUACAAUAUGUUAUUGAUAUGCAUAUGUAUAUAUUAUACACUACACAUAAUUAUAAAAUUCUAAUGUGUUUGUAUGUGUGUGUGUAUAUAUAUAUAUAAAAUUAAGAUUCAAUUGUAUAAAGUAUAGUUGAUUUUUAUACAUUUGUACUAAAAAGGGCCAACUAUGGAAGGAGAAUCACCAACAAUUUUUAUUAUAUAGAAGGAGAAUAUUGGAGGAAGUUGGAGAUAAUAAUAUGCAUUAUUCUUUUUUUUUUAAAAAUUAAUAUUAAUUAUAUUGUAUAAAUGAGUCUUAAAUACAUUUGAUCACUAACUAAUGUCUAUAAAAUAUAAUUAGUAAAACUUAGACCAUAGAGUUAGUUAGAAGAAGUUUAUAUAUGAAACUUUGCCUUAGAAAAAUUCAUUUUCUUCUAUCUAAACGUAAGUGGUUAUAAGAAGUCAUUUUCCCUUCAAUACUUCUCACGAAGAUCAUUUGAAAUACAAUCUCUCUUGCAAAUACAAUUUAAAUAAAAGAAAAUGGAAUACACUUUCUUAUCAACUGUAUAAUUUUUCCCACCAAACGUAAUUUGUAAGGAUCAAUUAAGCCCGGAGUCACUAAAUCUUGCUUUAAGCUCUAACAACUAAAGCCUUUUCACUUGGGAAAAGAUUUUAAUUAUUUGAAUGUACAAAAUUAUGCAUAUUACUGUAGGGGUAUUCACGGUUUGGUUUUUAACCAAACCAAAUCACAAUCCAAAUUAAACCGAUUAAAAAAAUUGAUAUUUGGUUAGGUUUGAUUUGGUAUGGUUUUGAAAUUUAAAAAAUCGAUACUAAUUUGGUUUGGUUUGAUUUUACUCUAAAAUAACCGACAAAAUAAUCAAACCGAACCGAUAUAUAUAUAUAUAUAUAUAUAUAAUUAUUUUUAUAUAUAUAUAUAUUAUAAUUAUUUAUAUAUUAUUCAUAAAUACAAUCUAAAUAUUUAUUACAUUUUAUAUUUUAAUCAUGAUUUAACUUUAGUCGUAACACAUUUAGUCAUAUGUCUUCAUCCAAUUGACAGUACCUUAUGAGAUUCUAAAUGAAUUUCUCAUUUUGAAUGACAAAUGAUACUAAUUGUGAAAAUAAUAUCUUGUUGUAUAUUGAAUUUUAUAGCUGAGAUUAUUAGACUAUAGACAAUCACUAAUUUUAACUUUCUUUUUUAACCUGGUUGAGCAAGAAGUUUAUGUGUUCACCUUUUGGGAGUUUAUAAUAUCAUUCUGUUAAAUAUUGUUUUUUAAUACUUUCUUAGAAGUGUUCAUAUGGUGUUGUCAUGGCUUUGCCAAAGUAUAACGCUCAGUUGACAUCAUAGUUUCAAAGUUGAUAUACAACACUCGAUUGACAUCUCAUAUAUUAAAUUGGAUUUGUUUUUUAAAUUUUCAACUUUUAUCAUUAGCUAAAGUUAUAAAUCGAAAAAAUCGAACCAAAUCGAUGGUUAUUUUUUUAUUUAGUUUGGUUUGAUUUUAGAAAUUUUAAAACCGACUAAGUUGAUUUGGUUAUGAUUUUGACCAAUAACCGACCCAUGAAUACCCCUAAAUAUUAGUAUUCUAUUAAGUGGCAUAUAAUUGAGAUUACUAAACCUGAGAGUUAAAAAGAUACGCACCCAUGUUUUUGCUUGAAAAUGGAUUUGAAUUAUUUGAAAUGUAUAAAAUUAUAUUUGACAUUCCAUUUACUGGUAAGAAGAUUGUGAGAUAUUACAAGGGAUGAGAAUUUUUUAAAAUAAUUUUAUUAUAUAAUUUUUUCCUUUGUACCCUUAGUAUUAAUAAUUACAUAAUAGUAAUAACAGUCAAAUUUAGAGUUCCAAAUCAUCAUUAAUAAAGCUAAUUUAGUAUUAAAAGUUUUUUAAAGGGCGUGUCGAGCCAAUAAGGGCGGAAUAAAAUGAAAAGGAGGGAGUAUUCAUCAACAUGGCCAGCUAAUUGAUGAAGGU